AAUGACUGCCUGUAAAGCUGAACAAUUUAGUGUGGUUACAUUUUCUGCAUGAGAUCUUAAAUGCUAUUCCAUUCUUUUUCAAAGACAUCUUUAAAGCCAGGAUCUUGAAAGAACAAUGUGAGUAAGGCAUGUCUUCAAAGCCUUUGGAUUCAGUGACAGAUUGUCAGAAGCAACAAUGAAAGAUCAAGAGAGUAUCCAGUCACACUACUGCUCAUACACAACCUAAAAGAAUAAAUGAUCCAUGCAGGACAGACCAUCUUCCCUGGGAACUUAUCAAUGCCUCCUUGUUCUGGAAUCUCUACAGUAGCAUCACCAAACAUAGAGAAAACUCUUUCCAUUCCUUUGAAUCUGAGAACUUGCCUUCAAAUCCAACUCACUAGCACUGUCUUCUUUGGCACCUGUGACAGUAAGUGUGUUCUUCCCUUCUCAAAUAUCUUUAAGCUU
This 444-nucleotide long non-coding RNA is filed under the name Camelus dromedarius (Arabian camel). RNAcentral's name for it is "lncRNA (ENSCDRG00005008812.1)". Lineage: Eukaryota; Metazoa; Chordata; Mammalia; Artiodactyla; Camelidae. The record is from RNAcentral.